GGGUUGUGAGGUUAAGCGACUAAGCGUACACGGUGGAUGCCCUGGCAGUCAGAGGCGAUGAAGGACGUGCUAAUCUGCGAUAAGCGUCGGUAAGGUGAUAUGAACCGUUAUAACCGGCGAUUUCCGAAUGGGGAAACCCAGUGUGUUUCGACACACUAUCAUUAACUGAAUCCAUAGGUUAAUGA
This 185-nucleotide ribosomal RNA is filed under the name Escherichia coli. Its description in RNAcentral is "partial 23S ribosomal RNA". It matches the Rfam family "Bacterial large subunit ribosomal RNA", at positions 1 to 177 of the family's 2925-position model. Lineage: Bacteria; Pseudomonadati; Pseudomonadota; Gammaproteobacteria; Enterobacterales; Enterobacteriaceae. The record is from RNAcentral. RNAcentral also lists the same sequence under 1 other name.